Molecule: long non-coding RNA, 357 nt
Organism: Harpegnathos saltator (Jerdon's jumping ant)
Lineage: Eukaryota; Metazoa; Arthropoda; Insecta; Hymenoptera; Formicidae
Exons: 3
Source: RefSeq, a predicted model, not a curated record
GGAACGUGAGAGCGGCCAACACAGCGUUUUCGACGACACCGACUUUCUGCAUUAGAGUCCCUAUGUUGUUGCAUACCGGGACGCAGAAAUAGAAGCGAAAAUGGCUUCUAUAUGAAACGUUUUCCAAUAAGUAAAAAACAAAAAAUUAUAUAGUUGAAACAAAUUGGAAGAGAAAACUGGAAACCGAAACAAUAUUCAGCAAUUUGUGAGGUUCAUCUUACUAAAGAAAUGUGGGAAAAACCGCGACAGGAUGGUUCCAAAAAAUUAAAAGCACAAGCAGUGCCAACAAGUUUUCCUCAUACAAAAGUAAUGUCGGAAUCUUUCGAUGGAAAAAUAAAGAAGUUAAAAUAUGAUAAA